CGGACGGGUGAGUAAUGUCUGGGAAACUGCCUGAUGGAGGGGGAUAACUACUGGAAACGGUAGCUAAUACCGCAUAACGUCGCAAGACCAAAGAAGGGGACCUUCGGGCCUCUUGCCAUCGGAUGUGCCCAGAUGGGAUUAGCUAGUAGGUGGGGUAAAGGCUCACCUAGGCGACGAUCCCUAGCUGGUCUGAGAGGAUGACCAGCCACACUGGAACUGAGACACGGUCCAG
RNAcentral lists this ribosomal RNA (232 nucleotides) under uncultured bacterium. Its description in RNAcentral is "partial 16S ribosomal RNA". It matches the Rfam family "Bacterial small subunit ribosomal RNA", at positions 99 to 334 of the family's 1533-position model. The record is from RNAcentral.